UUCUUGUUAGCAUGUUUUGUAUCGGGCUUUGCAGUUCAACCUCCAGACCAGUAGGUGGUGCUUAUGGGAAAAAGCUGUCUGUCACAGAAGCAGAUGGGUAUUUGCUUGAUCUCGGUUUAUUGGGAGGAACAGAAACACCAAGCUCACCCAUGAAUACUUCAAUGAGGAGCACAGGCACCAGCUCUGACGGGAGUGACUGAGGGAGCUCCUGGUGAAAUGUGCCAAGGUUGCUGCAGUUGGAGAGGGGGCUCCACCAGCUCCACAUCCUGGGCAGACAGGAACACAGUCUCUUUCUGUAUCACACCCUUGUGCCAGGGCUGAUGACUCUCAGUUCAGGCAGACACUGUCAUCUAACGCCAGGCCACAAUGUCACCGAAAGCCAGGGAAAACACCUGUCCCGUGAUUCUUCACUGGAAUGGCUUCAGCAUGGAAUCUCUUCCCUCAGCUCAAUACAGACAACUUUGUGGCUCUCCUGUUCUCCAGUGUAGGAACACUGCUGCUUCAUAGAGAGAGGGGGAAUGGUUCUGCCUUACAGUACAUGCAGGUGGGAGUCCUCUGUGGUGGUGUCAGGUGAUUGGAUUAGUUCAACCUCAGACCCCAGAGGGAAUGAACAGGUGCCAUCACUGGGCUAGGCAAUCCCCUAAUCCUCAGGUUCCUAAAUGGCUCUCUGGACAAUGUGCAUGAGUCCUGGAGGGACUAAACCAGGACCGGACCAGCAAACAUGUCUUCAAAUUCCCACAGUUCAGCAGCAGCAGCCGUGAUACACAUCUUUGGGGUGUGCAAAAGUACUUGGCCUCCCCACUCCCUCCCCACUCCCUCCUGGCACUGCAACAGCAGCUGGUACCAGGCUGCAGCGUUUCAGGAAUGAAAAGCCUGUGGAAUUCCAUGUGGGCCGAAGCAGUGCCUCUGCGCAAUCUCCGGAUGAUCUAUUCAAAGUGUGAAUAUUUACUAUUUUGAUUCAUCUCCAUGGAAGAGGAACCCACUAGCUGCUUCUAGUCAGCCAUCUUGAACCAGAAGCCCUUAUUUUACUUUUAUUUGUACUUUUUCUUUCAAAAAACUUUUUAAAUAUGUCAUUAAAAUGGUAAAUUUGCAAGUUUAAGUGAAAUCUAGUUUAGAAUUGAUGAAUUGUUAGUGAUGAUAUUCACAUCAUGAAAGUACUCAAUAGCAACUAGCCAAAGACAUUACUUUGAGGCAUGAAAAUAUCCUGUGUCUGUUUCUGCAAUAUAUGUUUAUUUCAGGAUAAAAAAAGAAAUUGUUUCUAUAAUGGAUUUUCACAUGGAACAAGUAAAAUGUUCUUGACUGAAUAUGUUGGCUGUCUUUUCUUCCAACAAACCAUUAGUUUACCAGUGUUGACAUUAGAAACAGCUCCUUACUAAAAAAUAAAAAUGUACCACCAAUGGAUCUCAGCUCUUAAGUGGAUUUCUAGUGACUAUGAUACUUGCAUGAAG
Molecule: long non-coding RNA, 1448 nt
Filed under: Homo sapiens (human)
Lineage: Eukaryota; Metazoa; Chordata; Mammalia; Primates; Hominidae
Description: HSALNT0403214
Source: RNAcentral